UUUACCAUGCAGUCGAACGGCAGCGCGGGGUAACCUGGCGGCGAGUGGCGAACGGGUGAGUAAUACAUCGGAACGUGCCCUGUGAUGGGGGAUAACUACGCGAAAGCGUAGCUAAUACCGCAUACGACCUACGGGUGAAAGUGGGGGAUCGCAAGACCUCACGUCAUAGGAGCGGCCGAUGGCGGAUUAGCUAGUUGGUGAGGUAAAGGCUUACCAAGGCAACGAUCCGUAGCUGGUCUGAGAGGACGACCAGCCACACUGGGACUGAGACACGGCCCAGACUCCUACGGGAGGCAGCAGUGGGGAAUCUUGGACAAUGGGGGCAACCCUGAUCCAGCAAUGCCGCGUGUGGGAUGAAGGCCUUCGGGUUGUAAACCACUUUUGGCGGGGGCGAAAUAUCGAGUGCUAAUACCAUUCGGUGAUGACGGUACCCGCAGAAUAAGCACCGGCUAACUACGUGCCAGCAGCCCGGGG
This 474-nucleotide ribosomal RNA is filed under the name uncultured Thiomonas sp. RNAcentral describes it as "bacterial SSU rRNA". It matches the Rfam family "Bacterial small subunit ribosomal RNA", at positions 48 to 520 of the family's 1533-position model. The record is from RNAcentral. Lineage: Bacteria; Pseudomonadati; Pseudomonadota; Betaproteobacteria; Burkholderiales.